GCCUACGGGGGGCAGCAGUGGGGAAUAUUGCGCAAUGGGCGAAAGCCUGACGCAGCGACGCCGCGUGAGGGAUGAAGGUCUUCGGAUCGUAAACCUCUGUCAGCAGGGAAGAACGGUCACUGUGUUAAUCAGCAGUGAAUUGACGGUACCUGCAAAGGAAGCACCGGCUAACUCCGUGCCAGCAGCCGCGGUAAUACGGAGGGUGCGAGCGUUAAUCGGAAUUACUGGGCGUAAAGCGCUCGUAGGUGGUAUGUCAAGUCAAGGGUGAAAUCCCCGCGCUCAACGCGGGAACUGCCUUUGAAACU
This 305-nucleotide ribosomal RNA is filed under the name uncultured bacterium. RNAcentral describes it as "bacterial SSU rRNA". It matches the Rfam family "Bacterial small subunit ribosomal RNA", at positions 337 to 634 of the family's 1533-position model. The record is from RNAcentral.